CAGUGUGAUCUGUUUAGCAUGGAACCAGUAACUUUGAACUGCAUUUCACCACCAGGCCAAGGCCCAAACACACAUGAGGGGGAACAGAACAACCUGCAACACUUUAUCCCAUAGUGAAAGUACAGUCAAAAUAUGAGAGAUCCUUAGACCAGAGAGAAAACAAGCUGAAAAGAAAAAGGAAAGAGACAGCUGAAAAGGAAAAUUCACCAGCAUCAGUGGCUGAUGGAUGGAUGAAGCCCUGCCUGGGCAACUUUUCUGACAAUGCUGUAGUCAAAGCUACAAGGACAUCUCCUCCAGAACUGCCAACAAACCAGGAAUCUGCUUUGAGACCUUUAACAAUGCAAAACAGCACAAGAGUGCAGCUGAAGCAUCCAGGCAGUCCAAACCUCAUAUACGUCCAA
This is a long non-coding RNA of Malaclemys terrapin pileata, 401 nucleotides long. RefSeq lists it as uncharacterized. Lineage: Eukaryota; Metazoa; Chordata; Testudines; Emydidae. The record is from RefSeq and is a predicted model, not a curated record. The transcript is spliced from 4 exons.